UACGUAGGUGGCAAGCGUUGUCCGGAUUUACUGGGCGUAAAGAGCGCGCAGGCGGUCGUAUAAGUCGAAUGUGAAAGCCCCCGGCUCAACUGGGGAGGGUCAUUCGAUACUGUUCGACUCGAAGGCAGGAGAGGGAAGUGGAAUUCCGGGUGUAGUGGUGAAAUGCGUAGAUAUCGGAAGGAACAUCAGUGGCGAAGGCGACUUCCUGGACCAAUACUGACGCUCAGGUGCGAAAGCGUGGGGAGCAAACAGG
RNAcentral lists this ribosomal RNA (253 nucleotides) under uncultured bacterium. RNAcentral describes it as "partial 16S ribosomal RNA". It matches the Rfam family "Bacterial small subunit ribosomal RNA", at positions 524 to 776 of the family's 1533-position model. The record is from RNAcentral.